Molecule: ribosomal RNA, 492 nt
Filed under: uncultured bacterium
Lineage: Bacteria
Description: partial 16S ribosomal RNA
Rfam family: Bacterial small subunit ribosomal RNA
Source: RNAcentral
AGUGAACGCUGGCGGUAGGCCUAACACAUGCAAGUCGAACGGCAGCACAGCAAGAGCUUGCUCUUACGGGUGGCGAGUGGCGGACGGGUGAGGAAUACAUCGGAAUCUACUUUUUCGUGGGGGAUAACGUAGGGAAACUUACGCUAAUACCGCAUACGACCUACGGGUGAAAGCAGGGGAUCUUCGGACCUUGCGCGAUUGAAUGAGCCGAUGUCGGAUUAGCUAGUUGGCGGGGUAAAGGCCCACCAAGGCGACGAUCCGUAGCUGGUCUGAGAGGAUGAUAAGCCACACUGGAACUGAGACACGGUCCAGACUCCUACGGGAGGCAGCAGUGGGGAAUAUUGGACAAUGGGCGCAAGCCUGAUCCAGCCAUACCGCGUGGGUGAAGAAGGCCUUCGGGUUGUAAAGCCCUUUUGUUGGGAAAGAAAAGCAGCAGGUUAAUACCCCGCUGUUCUGACGGUACCCAAAGAAUAAGCACCGGCUAACUUCGUG